Molecule: non-coding RNA, 104 nt
Filed under: Enterococcus durans
Lineage: Bacteria; Bacillati; Bacillota; Bacilli; Lactobacillales; Enterococcaceae
Description: TPP sequence
Rfam family: TPP riboswitch aptamer (THI element)
About the family: Vitamin B(1) in its active form thiamin pyrophosphate (TPP) is an essential coenzyme that is synthesised by coupling of pyrimidine and thiazole moieties in bacteria. The previously detected thiamin-regulatory element, thi box was extended, resulting in a new, highly conserved RNA secondary structure, the THI element, which is widely distributed in eubacteria and also occurs in some archaea.
Source: RNAcentral
AGAAUCACAAAGGGGAGCCUGUCUGGGCUGAGAUUGAAUAUUAUUUCUAAACCCUUCGUACCUGUUUCGGUCAUGCGAACGUAGGAAUUGUGACGAGUAGUAGA